Sebastes umbrosus (honeycomb rockfish) is the source of this 249-nucleotide long non-coding RNA. RefSeq lists it as uncharacterized. NCBI's taxonomy places the organism in Eukaryota, Metazoa, Chordata, Actinopteri, Perciformes, Sebastidae. The record is from RefSeq and is a predicted model, not a curated record. The transcript has 3 exons.
GCUGCUGCUGCUGGCGGUCUGCAUCGCUGGACUCUUCAUCUGGAGGAGGAACAAUAACGGGUUUCGCCCUGCUAACACGGGGCAGUGAACAUAGAAGAGGAUGCUGAACUCCACAACUUAUCGUCUCAGAGGACUUUACAAUCUGUACAACAAAUUGCGUUCUCUACCCUUCAUUUGGGUAAAGAAAACCACCCAAACUCAUUUAAUAAAUCUCUCUAAUGAGAGCUGCUCAUCUGAUUGGCUGCCAUA